This is a non-coding RNA of Podarcis lilfordi (Lilford's wall lizard), 2170 nucleotides long. Lineage: Eukaryota; Metazoa; Chordata; Lepidosauria; Squamata; Lacertidae. The record is from the annotation of a GenBank genome assembly.
AUGACCAAUGGACAGAGAUGAUAGGUGUUGUAGUUCAACAACAUCCGGAGGGCACCACAUAUCAUUUUGCACUAAGCUGUGCAAGUCCCCUUCAUUUGGAUUUUCUUUCAAACCCACAUCUGCUGUAGCUCUUCCUGGACUUCCUGGAUUUCCUGUAUGCUGGUGGAAGCCAACAUGUGGUGGUGGAGUCUCCUUCUUUGGAGGUCUUUAAGCAGAGGCUUGACAACCAUAUGUCAGGAGUGCUCUGAUGGUGUUUCCUGCUUGGCAGGGGGUUGGACUCGAUGGCCCUUGUGGUCUCUUCCAACUCUAUGAUUCUAUGAUUCUAACAUGUGGCCUGAAAGAUGUUGCUGGACUACAACUCCUACCAGCCCCAGGCUGUAUGGCAAGUGGUCAGAAAUGUUGGACAUUGGAGUCUAACUCCAGCAACAACUGCAAGGUCACAAGUUUCCACACCCCUAGCUUCCACACCCCUAGCACACCUUUCUUUCUGUCUCAUUGUGGCUUGCUAUUUAUUUGAGGGUGGAUGACUGCCCUCAUCUAUUUAUGAACUGGUUAACUUACCACGGUGCAUGUGUGACCACUUUGUAAACCCAUCAUCCUACCAAGGGGUAAGGAGAAAUUUGCCCUUCCAGGCUCCUUUCCUAGUUUUCAUAUCAAGUAAAGAAGAAUAGUAAGAUGGUUAUAAUCAGAUGGUAGAGUGCAUGCUUUGCAUGCCAAAGGUCCUAGGUUCACUCCUUAGCAUCACUAGGUAGAGCUGGGACAUACCCCUGCCUGAAAUCGUGCAGAGUUGCUGUUGGCUAGGAUAAACAAUCAUGAUUUGCUUCAGGUCUGGGGAACUUGUGGCCAUCCAGAUAUUAUUGGACUCCCAACUCCAUCAGCCCCACUCAGGAGAUUCAGUGAUCAGGGAUUGUGAGAGCUGUAGUCCAACAAUAUCUGGAGAAUUACAGACUCCUCAUCCCUGAGCUAGGUGGACCAAUGGUAGCAUGAAAAAACCAUCAAGUCAGACCAUUGGUGCAUCUAGGUCAGCACUGUCAACAUUGACUGUCAGCAAUGCUGCAAGGUUGCAGACAUGGAACAUUCCCAGUCCUACCUGGAGAUGCCAAAGAUUGAACCUGGGAUUUUCUCUAUGUAAAGCAGAUGUUCUAGCCACUGAGUUAUGACGCUUACCAAUAGUCGGACUCAUGUAAGUCAACUUUCCACGUUCCUAAAUUUUCUUGCCAGUUGUCGUGACAAUCCCAGUGACCAAUUUCCCAAGUGGUUACAUGCACACUGUGGGGAAUGUACCAUUUCAUAAACAGUCAACUGCCUGGGCUGAAUGAGUACCUGGAUUCUAGCCAAGAGAGUAGCUAGCUUCUUCAUGCUCAAUUUAGACAGAGGCCUUUGUUAAUAUGAGUGGAGAAAAGUCAGUUAUAUUAUUAACUUGUCUCAGAUAAGACUCUUUUUGGGGGGUGGGGUGGGGGUGGGAAACAACAUAUAUUCCAAUUCAUAAAAAAAUAUAUUUUCAAAGCUGGAUUAUAUUUCUCCCUUUUGUCCCUGUUCCCUGGCUCUUCCCCCACAAAAACCUUGGAACGAUAGAGAAAAAUUAUUUUUUAAAGUAUUGAUAAUUUAUGUUUAAUAUAAAGGAUGACUUAAUGGAAUCACCAAAGGUCACUUAUCCCAUCGGCAUGUCAUGCUCCUUCUUUGUGAUCCCAUCCACGCUCCUUACCCACCGCACACAUAGCCCACUGCUAAGUAAAUGCAUUGUACAGAACGGAGGGGAUGAGCAGUAGGUGACGUGACCUUGGAGGGCGGAAGCCCAAAGUCACUGCCGCUACCACCAAAUGAAAACGUCUCCCUGGAAACUGCUGCCAUCAGAUGGCAAGCUCAUUCCUUGACUUUCAUUUAAAAGAAGCCUUUUUUUACAUACGUGUGUUUGUACACGGUCAAAAAUGUACAUCCUUAGACCCUCGUGUUUAUGUGUACAUCCACAAAUGCACAUCUCUCUCUCAAGUAUAAAUAUAUUGUAUGUUUGAGCUGUAAAUAAUUCUCGGUCAUGUGUCUUCUGUCUUCUCAUAGUAUCAUAUCCUCAGUGUUAUGUUUAACGACGCCAUUUAUUGAUUGAUAAAACCUGUGUGUAGAGCUGUAUCCUCCUGACAUAGUUUAUGUAGACCCCUCUUCUCAAAUAAAGUAC